CCUACGGGUGGCAGCAGUGGGGAAUAUUGGGCAAUGGGCGCAAGCCUGACCCAGCAACGCCGCGUGAAGGAAGAAGGCUCUCGGGUUGUAAACUUCUUUUAUCAGGGACGAAGCAAGUGACGGUACCUGAUGACUAAGCCACGGCUAACUACGUGCCAGCAGCCGCGGUAAUACGUAGGUGGCAAGCGUUAACCGGAUUUACUGGGUGUAAAGGGCGUGUAGGCGGGAAAGCAAGGCAGAUGUGAAAACGAUGGGCUCAACCCGUGGCCUGCAUUUGAAACUGUGUUUCUUGAGUGCUGGAGAGGCAGGCGGAAUGCCUGGUGUAGCGGUGAAAUGCGUAGAUAUUAGGAGGAACACCAGUGGCGAAGGCGGUCUGCUGGACAGCAACUGACGCUGAGGCGCGAAAGCGUGGGGAGCAAACAGGAUUAGAUACCCUAGUAGUC
This 443-nucleotide ribosomal RNA is filed under the name uncultured bacterium. RNAcentral describes it as "partial 16S ribosomal RNA". It matches the Rfam family "Bacterial small subunit ribosomal RNA", at positions 338 to 795 of the family's 1533-position model. The record is from RNAcentral.